This 242-nucleotide small RNA is filed under the name Arabidopsis thaliana (thale cress). RNAcentral describes it as "ATSL024660". The record is from RNAcentral. Lineage: Eukaryota; Viridiplantae; Streptophyta; Magnoliopsida; Brassicales; Brassicaceae.
UUUUUUUUGCAAAUUGAAUCUAUAUAUAAUAUAUUUUUAUUUUAUAGUUUACAAUUGUUAUUAAGUAACGUCCUGCCAAACCCGUCCCGCCAAACCCGUCCCGUAAAAAAACUAUUUAUUUAUAUUAAUGUUGAUCUUAUUUAUGAUAUGUUUAUAAAUCAUUGUCUAAAUAUUUUUGUCGAUGCGGGACGUUGAACCCACACAUUUUUUGCUAAUUUGUUAAUAUAUGUUUAUUUUUAAAA